ACAGGGAUUGCCCUAGUAACGGCGAGUGAAGCGGCAAAAGCUCAGAUUUGAAAUCUGUGGCGGCCGAGUUGUAGUCUGUAGAGGUGUAUUCGAGUGUGGUCCUUGGAACAGGGCGUCAUAGAGGGUGAGAACCCCGUUAACGGCCUUUGUCUUAUGCUCAUGUGAAUCUCCUUCAACGAGUCGAGUUGUUUGGGAAUGCAGCUCUAAAUGGGUGGUAAAUUCCAUCUAAAGCUAAAUACUGGCAAGAGACCGAUAGCGCACAAGUAGAGUGAUCGAAAGAUGAAAAGAACUCUGAACAGAGAGUUAAAUAGUACGUGAAAUUGUUGAAAGGGAAGCACUUCCGACCAGACGCACUUGCAGCCGAUCAAUGGGUGCACUCGGUUGUCUGGGUCAGCAUCAGUUGGCGGUGGGAAAAAGGAAUGUGGCUCCUUCCUUUGGUGCAAUGCUGCCGCUGUGACUGAGGACCGCGCUUCGGUCGUAAGUGACCCGUCUUGAAACACGGACCAAGGAGUCUAACAUCUAUGCGAGUGUUUGGGUGUAAACCCUUACGCGGAAUGAAAGUAAAUGGAGGUGGGGUGCACCAUCGACCGAUCCUGAUGUUUUCGGAUGGAUUUGAGUAGGAGCAUAGCUGUUGGGACCCGAAAGAUGGUGAACUAUGCCUGAAUAGGGUGAAGCCAGAGGAAACUCUGGUGGAGGCUCGGUUCUGACGUGCAAAUCGAUCGUCAAAUUUGGGGCGAAAGACUAAUCG
This 748-nucleotide ribosomal RNA is filed under the name Legaliana limnaea. RNAcentral describes it as "Peziza limnaea partial large subunit ribosomal RNA". It matches the Rfam family "Eukaryotic large subunit ribosomal RNA", at positions 68 to 937 of the family's 3401-position model. Lineage: Eukaryota; Fungi; Ascomycota; Pezizomycetes; Pezizales; Pezizaceae. The record is from RNAcentral.